RNAcentral lists this ribosomal RNA (492 nucleotides) under uncultured bacterium. Its description in RNAcentral is "partial 16S ribosomal RNA". It matches the Rfam family "Bacterial small subunit ribosomal RNA", at positions 29 to 507 of the family's 1533-position model. The record is from RNAcentral.
AGUGAACGCUGGCGGUAGGCCUAACACAUGCAAGUCGAACGGCAGCACAGUAAGAGCUUGCUCUUACGGGUGGCGAGUGGCGGACGGGUGAGGAAUACAUCGGAAUCUACUUUUUCGUGGGGGAUAACGGAGGGAAACUUACGCUAAUACCUCAUACGACCUACGGGUGAAAGCAGGGGAUCUUGGUACCUUGCGCGAUCGAAUGAGCCGAUGUCGGAUUAGCUAGUUGGCGGGGUAAAGGCCCACCAAGGCGACGAUCCGUAGCUGGUCUGAGAGGAUGAUCAGCCACACUGGAACUGAGACACGGUCCAGACUCCUACGGGAGGCAGCAGUGGGGAAUAUUGGACAAUGGGCGCAAGCCUGAUCCAGCCAUACCGCGUGGGUGAAGAAGGCCUUCGGGUUGUAAAGCCCUUUUGUUGGGAAAGAAAAGCAGCAGGUUAAUACCCCGCUGUUCUGACGGUACCCAAAGAAUAAGCACCGGCUAACUUCGUG